RNAcentral lists this ribosomal RNA (309 nucleotides) under uncultured bacterium. RNAcentral's name for it is "partial 16S ribosomal RNA". It matches the Rfam family "Bacterial small subunit ribosomal RNA", at positions 1 to 334 of the family's 1533-position model. The record is from RNAcentral.
CUGUACAGUUCAGAGUUUGAUCCUGGCUCAGAACGAACGCUGGCGGCAUGCCUAACACAUGCAAGUCGAACGAGACCUUCGGGUCUAGUGGCGCACGGGUGCGUAACGCGUGGGAAUCUGCCCUGGGGUGCGGAAUAACUCGGAGAAAUCCGUGCUAAUACCGCAUAAUGUCUUCGGACCAAAGAUUUAUUGCCCUGGGAUGAGCCCGCGUAGGAUUAGCUAGUUGGUGAGGUAAAGGCUCACCAAGGCGACGAUCCUUAGCUGGUCUGAGAGGAUGAUCAGCCACACUGGGACUGAGACACGGCCCAG